UACGUAGGGGGCGAGCGUUGUCCGGAAUUAUUGGGCGUAAAGAGCGUGUAGGCGGCCAGGUAGGUCGGUUGUGAAAACUGGAGGCUCAACCUUCAGACGUCGACCGAAACCAUCUGGCUAGAGUCCGGGAGAGGAGAGUGGAAUUCCUGGUGUAGCGGUGAAAUGCGCAGAUAUCAGGAAGAACACCCGUGGCGAAAGCGGCUCUCUGGAACGGUGCUGACGCUGAGACGCGAAAGCGUGGGGAGCGAACAGG
This 253-nucleotide ribosomal RNA is filed under the name uncultured bacterium. RNAcentral's name for it is "partial 16S ribosomal RNA". It matches the Rfam family "Bacterial small subunit ribosomal RNA", at positions 524 to 776 of the family's 1533-position model. The record is from RNAcentral.